RNAcentral lists this unclassified non-coding RNA (19 nucleotides) under Chlamydomonas reinhardtii. RNAcentral describes it as "small RNA Cre_3015". Lineage: Eukaryota; Viridiplantae; Chlorophyta; Chlorophyceae; Chlamydomonadales; Chlamydomonadaceae. The record is from RNAcentral.
UGCAGCGCGCAGGCGGGCC